AUUGAACGCUGGCGGCAUGCCUUACACAUGCAAGUCGAACGGUAACAGGUCUUCGGAUGCUGACGAGUGGCGAACGGGUGAGUAAUACAUCGGAACGUGCCCAAUCGUGGGGGAUAACGCAGCGAAAGCUGUGCUAAUACCGCAUACGAUCUACGGAUGAAAACAGGGGACCGCAAGGCCUUGCGCGAAUGGAGCGGCCGAUGGCAGAUUAGGUAGUUGGUGAGGUAAAGGCUCACCAAGCCUUCGAUCUGUAGCUGGUCUGAGAGGACGACCAGCCACACUGGGACUGAGACACGGCCCAGACUCCUACGGGAGGCAGCAGUGGGGAAUUUUGGACAAUGGGCGCAAGCCUGAUCCAGCUAUGCCGCGUGCAGGAUGAAGGCCUUCGGGUUGUAAACUGCUUUUGUACGGAACGAAACGGCCUUUUCUAAUAAAGAGGGCUAAUGACGGUACCGUAAGAAUAAGCACCGGCUAACUACGUGCCAGCCGCCGCCGUAA
Molecule: ribosomal RNA, 498 nt
Filed under: uncultured bacterium
Lineage: Bacteria
Description: partial 16S ribosomal RNA
Rfam family: Bacterial small subunit ribosomal RNA
Source: RNAcentral